AUCAUUUAAGAUAGCAUAGAUCAUAGGCUCUAGGUCGUUCUCGUUUGUCGUGUAACCCAAGCAGCUGGAGAGAGAAGUAGCCUGGGGAGAAGAAAACACAGGAAAAAAAAACAACUGUUCCCCACAUUCUCACACAGAAAAACCCGUGACCUCUCAAGCAGAAAACACCGAAAUAAUUAGCUCCCCUCCACAGCAAGCUGCCACUGUGGGUCAGCUCCUCCACACCAGCCACCGUCAGCCAUGAGCAGCAGCACCUGGAAGCAAAAAGAACCGUGAACUCCAGAUAUGAUGUGUUACACUCGGUGGAUAAGAGGAUUAUAAGCAUGUAUUCUCUUUGUUGUUUUGGACGGGC
This 352-nucleotide long non-coding RNA is filed under the name Populus trichocarpa (black cottonwood). RNAcentral's name for it is "long non-coding RNA (PTRI_LNC002355)". The record is from RNAcentral. Lineage: Eukaryota; Viridiplantae; Streptophyta; Magnoliopsida; Malpighiales; Salicaceae.